This 489-nucleotide ribosomal RNA is filed under the name uncultured bacterium. RNAcentral describes it as "partial 16S ribosomal RNA". It matches the Rfam family "Bacterial small subunit ribosomal RNA", at positions 30 to 507 of the family's 1533-position model. The record is from RNAcentral.
AUUGAACGCUGGCGGCAGGCCUAACACAUGCAAGUCGAACGGUAACAGGAAACAGCUUGCUGUUUCGCUGACGAGUGGCGGACGGGUGAGUAAUGUCUGGGAAACUGCCUGAUGGAGGGGGAUAACUACUGGAAACGGUAGCUAAUACCGCAUAACGUCGCAAGACCAAAGAGGGGGACCUUCGGACCUCUUGCCAUCGGAUGUGCCCAGAUGGGAUUAGCUAGUAGGUGGGGUAACGGCUCACCUAGGCGACGAUCCCUAGCUGGUCUGAGAGGAUGACCAGCACACUGGAACUGAGACACGGUCCAGACUCCUACGGGAGGCAGCAGUGGGGAAUAUUGCACAAUGGGCGCGAGCCUGAUGCAGCCAUGCCGCGUGUAUGAAGAAGGCCUUCGGGUUGUAAAGUACUUUCAGCGGGGAGGAAGGGAGUAAAGUUAAUACCUUUGCUCAUUGACGUUACCCGCAGAAGAAGCACCGGCUAACUCCGUG